Molecule: ribosomal RNA, 432 nt
Filed under: uncultured Sphingomonas sp.
Lineage: Bacteria; Pseudomonadati; Pseudomonadota; Alphaproteobacteria; Sphingomonadales; Sphingomonadaceae
Description: bacterial SSU rRNA
Rfam family: Bacterial small subunit ribosomal RNA
Source: RNAcentral
CGGGGGGCAGCAGUGGGGAAUAUUGGACAAUGGGCGAAAGCCUGAUCCAGCAAUGCCGCGUGAGUGAUGAAGGCCUUAGGGUUGUAAAGCUCUUUUACCCGGGAUGAUAAUGACAGUACCGGGAGAAUAAGCUCCGGCUAACUUCGUGCCAGCAGCCGCGGUAAUACGAGGGGAGCUAGCGUUAUUCGGAAUUACUGGGCGUAAAGCGCACGUAGGCGGCUUUGUAAGUUAGAGGUGAAAGCCCAGAGCUCAACUCUGGAAUUGCCUUUAAGACUGCAUCGCUUGAAUCCAGGAGAGGUGAGUGGAAUUCCGAGUGUAGAGGUGAAAUUCGUAGAUAUUCGGAAGAACACCAGUGGCGAAGGCGGCUCACUGGACUGGUAUUGACGCUGAGGUGCGAAAGCGUGGGGAGCAAACAGGAUUAGAUACCCCAGU